RNAcentral lists this ribosomal RNA (583 nucleotides) under Rhodotorula mucilaginosa. Its description in RNAcentral is "eukaryotic LSU rRNA". It matches the Rfam family "Eukaryotic large subunit ribosomal RNA", at positions 55 to 654 of the family's 3401-position model. Lineage: Eukaryota; Fungi; Basidiomycota; Microbotryomycetes; Sporidiobolales; Sporidiobolaceae. The record is from RNAcentral.
GGAAAAGAAACUAACAAGGAUUCCCCUAGUAGCGGCGAGCGAAGCGGGAAGAGCUCAAAUUUAUAAUCUGGCACCUUCGGUGUCCGAGUUGUAAUCUCUAGAAAUGUUUUCCGCGUUGGACCGCACACAAGUCUGUUGGAAUACAGCGGCAUAGUGGUGAGACCCCCGUAUAUGGUGCGGACGCCCAGCGCUUUGUGAUACAUUUUCGAAGAGUCGAGUUGUUUGGGAAUGCAGCUCAAAUUGGGUGGUAAAUUCCAUCUAAAGCUAAAUAUUGGCGAGAGACCGAUAGCGAACAAGUACCGUGAGGGAAAGAUGAAAAGCACUUUGGAAAGAGAGUUAACAGUACGUGAAAUUGUUGGAAGGGAAACGCUUGAAGUCAGACUUGCUUGCCGAGCAAUCGGUUUGCAGGCCAGCAUCAGUUUUCCGGGAUGGAUAAUGGUAGAGAGAAGGUAGCAGUUUCGGCUGUGUUAUAGCUCUCUGCUGGAUACAUCUUGGGGGACUGAGGAACGCAGUGUGCCUUUGGCGGGGGUUUCGACCUCUUCACACUUAGGAUGCUGGUGGAAUGGCUUUAAACGACCCGUCU